CCUACGGGCGGCAGCAGUGAGGAAUAUUGGUCAAUGGUCGGGAGACUGAACCAGCCAAGCCGCGUGAGGGAGGAAGGUACAGAGUAUCGUAAACCUCUUUUGUCAGGGAACAAAGGCGGGGACGUGUCCCCGGAUGAGUGUACCUGAAGAAAAAGCAUCGGCUAACUCCGUGCCAGCAGCCGCGGUAAUACGGAGGAUGCGAGCGUUAUCCGGAUUUAUUGGGUUUAAAGGGUGCGCAGGCGGUCUGUUAAGUCAGCGGGCAAAGCCCGGGGCUCAACCCCGGCCCGCCGUUGAAACUGGCAGUCUCGAGUUGGAGAGAAGUAUGCGGAAUGCGCGGUGUAGCGGUGAAAUGCAUAGAUAUCGCGCAGAACUCCGAUUGCGAAGGCAGCAUGCCGGCUCCACACUGACGCUGAGGCACGAAAGCGUGGGUAUCGAACAGGAUUAGAUACCCUUGUAGUC
Molecule: ribosomal RNA, 459 nt
Filed under: uncultured bacterium
Lineage: Bacteria
Description: partial 16S ribosomal RNA
Rfam family: Bacterial small subunit ribosomal RNA
Source: RNAcentral